CAGCCGUAAACAAUGUGCGUUAGGUGUGUCGGUAACCACGUGUUACUGAUGCGCCGAAGAGAAAUCGUGAAACGCACCACCUGGGAAGUACGGUCGCAAGGCUGAAACUUAAAGGAAUUGGCGGGGGAGCACCACAACAGGUGGAGCCUGCGGUUUAAUUGGAUUCAACGCCGGACAUCUCACCGGAUAAGACAGCUGAAUGAUUGUCAAUCUGAAGGUGUUACAUGACUAGCUGAGAGGUGGUGCAUGGCGUCAGUGACU
Molecule: ribosomal RNA, 261 nt
Filed under: uncultured archaeon
Lineage: Archaea
Description: partial 16S ribosomal RNA
Rfam family: Archaeal small subunit ribosomal RNA
Source: RNAcentral